AACUCUGUUAUUAGGGAAGAACAAAUGUGUAAGUAACUAUGCACGUCUUGACGGUACCUAAUCAGAAAGCCACGGCUAACUACGUGCCAGCAGCCGCGGUAAUACGUAGGUGGCAAGCGUUAUCCGGAAUUAUUGGGCGUAAAGCGCGCGUAGGCGGUUUUUUAAGUCUGAUGUGAAAGCCCACGGCUCAACCGUGGAGGGUCAUUGGAAACUGGAAAACUUGAGUGCAGAAGAGGAAAGUGG
Molecule: ribosomal RNA, 243 nt
Filed under: Staphylococcus epidermidis
Lineage: Bacteria; Bacillati; Bacillota; Bacilli; Caryophanales; Staphylococcaceae
Description: partial 16S ribosomal RNA
Rfam family: Bacterial small subunit ribosomal RNA
Source: RNAcentral